AUUUCAUCUCACCUGCGAUUGUUCUCCGGCGGCAGAACGCUCCAGUCCUGCUCGUAAUACGGAUACAUGGUGGCUUCUCACUGGAGCACGGAACUAAACCGACUGGAAUGGGAGCGGGAGUGCGUUGGUUAACAGGCAACGCUCUGCUUUUCUGUAGCUCUAGGUCUAGCUAUCUAGCCCUAACUGGCGGCCGAUCAUUUCCAGUCCGAGCGGUGGAAACUCCUGCGGAAGACUGACGAUUCCAGUGCCACUCACCAGGUGUUGAUUUUCUUUUUUUUUCCUCUGCCUUUGCUUUUUGGUGGCACACACAGCACUUAUCUAUCGGCCGGGCUGAUAAUGGUAAUAAUGCUCCCCGCGCCGUGAGAACAACACAAUCCCGGCUGGUUGUUUCUUUCGCGGUUCGUUUUCAUUCGGUACGGAUAAGCGGAGCCCCAUUGACAACCGCCAUAUCGAGGUGUAGUGCGAGUGCAGUGCUGUUAGAUAAAGCCGCAACUCUCCCGACUUUGGUGGACCUCGAAUCGCCCACACACUCUUUGGCUAACGAUUCACCAUGACAGCUGCGAAUGAAUUUAGUUUUAUUAAAUUUUCGGGACCAAAAUACCCAAGUAUCUGGGUUAUUAAUAGAGAAUUCCAAUAAUUAAAAGCGAAAUUGUAAUAAAUAGAUUACAUAUAAUCGAA
Drosophila teissieri is the source of this 678-nucleotide long non-coding RNA. RefSeq lists it as uncharacterized. The transcript is spliced from 2 exons. The record is from RefSeq and is a predicted model, not a curated record. Lineage: Eukaryota; Metazoa; Arthropoda; Insecta; Diptera; Drosophilidae.